CCCGCCCACUCCGCCUAUCGAGCAGCACGGAGCCCCAGCGGGACACGCCCGCUACCCGCGCAGAGCCGCCCCUCGACUAGCCAAGCAUGGCCGAGAGGCCGGCGCGAGCUGGGUUCCGCACGGACGGGAGGGGGGGAAGCGCCGAGGCGCUGACGUCAGCAGAGACUUAUUUAAUCAUCUUUGAUGUCAUUAUUGACGUUCCCAGCGACCGGAAUUGAGACUCCCACGUGAGCCGCUCCUGCCGUCCGCCCGUGCAGCGAGCGCUGUGACCCCUGCGCGGAGCCAUGUGCGGGGUACGUUUGUAUAGCAGCUGGCGGGGUGCUUCCCAUUCCAGGGAGACAAACAAGUGUAAUCUUUGCUGAGCUACUAUGCUAGCUGCUGCACACAAUCCUAUCUAACCUCCUGGGAAUUAUCUGACACACAGCUGGGUCAUCACUGGGAAUUGCAGAAGUGUUUUUUGAGAUAUCUGAGAAGCAGUUGGAAGAACAAGAAUUGGGUUGUCUUCUCUGGUUUACUCUGAAGUCUUACUCUACUGGAGGAUGCAUGGAAUGAGAGAUUUCUCUGCUCUUACCUGAAGGCAUUUGAAUUCUGCUGAUGUUGAUGUCCUGAAAAGGCAUGAGAUAUCACCAAGCAAUAUUAACAGAGCCUUAAAGACUUGUGUCAGCAUAUUUCCAAUGUAUUUAUUUUGGAAUACCAAACUGGAUGGGACGUGACUUAAAUGCAUCAGACUUCUGCUAUUUUUUUUUAAAAAGUCUGCAGCUCAUUAGCAUCACAUAUGCCUGGCAAAGAUUUACGAAUGGGAUUUCGUCUGACUGUUAGUUGGAAUGCAAAUGGAGCAAGACCUAAGGAUCCAAAAGAAAAUAUACAGCUGUAAUAAAUUAAAUUGUAUUCAAGUGAUUCCAGAACCAAUUCCAGGGACUGUCAUUCACUGUUCAAGAAAGAAAUAAAAUAUUCAUACUUCAGACUCAGAAUUGCAAAAUGUUCUUUUCCUGUUGCAAUGAGUCUCCCCACAAAAUUAUCUAA
Pelodiscus sinensis (Chinese soft-shelled turtle) is the source of this 1023-nucleotide non-coding RNA. NCBI's taxonomy places the organism in Eukaryota, Metazoa, Chordata, Testudines, Trionychidae. The record is from RefSeq and is a predicted model, not a curated record.